UUCUAUUAUUUAUAUCUACCGAUCAUUUUCAACUUCUUAACAGAGAAAGGUCAGUGUGCUUGUCUCGAUGAUACUAUAAAUUCAGAUUGAAUCUUUGGAGAACAAUUUAACUAAUUCCAGACAAUCUAACCGAUGAUCUAUGAUCGAUCAUGAUACAGAAUAGGGUUCCAGGAAAUCGCACGAUAAAAUGCCUUUAAUUUAAAACAAUGCACAGAUGUAUACAUCGAUCGGAUAGAAAUAAACUGGUGAUUCAAGGAUGCGGAUCGCCGGAUUUAGUCGAAUAUUGCGCGUGCACGAGAAAAUAUAGGAAUCCUUUUCAAUUGACGCACACGCUUUGAACGCGCUGCAUAUUAAUCAAAAGCUGCAACUCGAAACCUGGUACCAGGAUAAUACAGAUCCGCAAGAAAUGGCAGGCUGCCAGAAUUCGGCUUGCACUUUGGCUUUCUACCAACGUGGAAAAUGCUUUCCGAAAUUCAACCACAAAAUCGUGGUCGUCUACAUCCGCAAAAUGUACUAUCGUUCUAAUCGUCGAUUGAUAACCGAACAGCAAACACAAAGAAACGUGUUCUCGUUCUCGUUCAUUAUCACGUUAGAUAGCUCUUCAAAAUCUGUUUAAUUGAAAUUAUGGAUAUAAAACGACAUUGUUGGGUCAUUUAGAUAGUAAGGUGAAUGAAUCAUUUGAUAGCUUACAAGAAAUUAUAUUCUUAUAAAUGAAUCAUGAACAAACAUAAAAAUAAGAAUUUCGAAACUCAGAUGCUUAACUGAUAUCAGUUUUAUAAUUUCAAUUAUGUAAGAAUGGACGUAAAUCGUAAGAAAAGAUUAUUCAAUAUAAUAAUCAAUUAUUAUAUCUUGCAAAUCUUGCAAAUCAUUUCUGUUAUCAUUUUAAUUAGUAAUCAGUUUCUUCUUGAGACUGUUUAUCUCUUGAAUCUGUAUCAAGAUCGCAAGAUGAUCAAUUAUAGGUCUUAUAAGGUGAUGGUUUUUCUUCAGAAAUAAAAAUCUCUCUCUCCCCUUGAA
Molecule: long non-coding RNA, 1014 nt
Organism: Osmia bicornis bicornis
Lineage: Eukaryota; Metazoa; Arthropoda; Insecta; Hymenoptera; Megachilidae
Exons: 2
Source: RefSeq, a predicted model, not a curated record